This 200-nucleotide unclassified non-coding RNA is filed under the name fungal sp. RNAcentral describes it as "partial internal transcribed spacer 2". Lineage: Eukaryota; Fungi. The record is from RNAcentral.
UUAAGUUCAGCGGGUAUCCCUACCCGAUCCGAGGUCAACCUGUGAAUGGGUUUCACGGCGCGGAUCGCCCGUCUCGCCAGCGAAUGUUUGCCACGACGCUGAGAUUCGGACCGUCCGGCCGACGAUUUUGGGGCCCGGGUCGCCCCCGUGGCCCAACACCAAGCGAGGCUUGAGUGGUGAAAUGACGCUCGAACGGGCAU